GGAAUUUUGGACAAUGGGGGCAACCCUGAUCCAGCGACGCCGCGUGAAGGAUGAAGGUCUUCGGAUUGUAAACUUCUUUUGAAGGGGAUGAAUGACCCGGCGAAUAGCCGGGAGUGACAGUACUCUUCGAAUAAGCCCCGGCUAACUACGUGCCAGCAGCCGCGGUAAUACGUAGGUGGCAAGCGUUACUCGGAAUCACUAGGCGUAAAGCGCAGGUAGGAGGUUGGAUAAGUCUCUUGUGAAAGCUCCCGGCUUAACUGGGAGAGGUCAAGGGAAACUGUUCGGCUAGAGUGUGGUAGAGGAAGAUGGAAUUCCCGGUGUAGCGGUGAAAUGCGUAGAUAUCGGGAGGAAUACCUAUGGCGAAAGCAGUCUUCUGGACCAUCACUGACUCUGAUCUGCGAAAGCUAGGGGAGCAAAC
Molecule: ribosomal RNA, 418 nt
Filed under: uncultured bacterium
Lineage: Bacteria
Description: bacterial SSU rRNA
Rfam family: Bacterial small subunit ribosomal RNA
Source: RNAcentral